This 1209-nucleotide long non-coding RNA is filed under the name Lactuca sativa (garden lettuce). RNAcentral's name for it is "long non-coding RNA (LSAT_LNC002306)". The record is from RNAcentral. Lineage: Eukaryota; Viridiplantae; Streptophyta; Magnoliopsida; Asterales; Asteraceae.
CACUGCCACCUUUGCCCAAAACGCACCCAUGGUUUGGCCACCAUUUUCCUCUUCCUCAAUUUCCACCAAAGGUUUAUCCAUCAUUCCCAUUUCCACCAAACACACCAUCACCUACUCCUGUUUAUGACCCACCAGUUGUUGAGACUCCCCCUGUUCCAGUAUACAAUCCUCCUCCGGUUGUUGAGACUCCCCCUGUUCCAGUAUACAAUCCUCCUCCGGUUGUUGAGACUCCCCCUGUUCCAGUAUACAAUCCUCCUCCGGUUGUUGAGACUCCCCCUGUUCCAGUAUACAAUCCUCCUCCGGUUGUUGAACCACCACCAGUUUACAAUCCUCCUCCGGUUUACAAUCCUCCUCCUGUUUACACACCAACACCAAAGCCAGAACCACCAGUAGUCAAGCCUCCUUGUGACCCAAAACCAAAGCCACAGCCACCUGUCUACAAACCUGCUCCCAUUCCGGUUUAUAAGCCAAAGCCAAAGCCGCCAGUCUACAAGCCUGCUCCCGUCCCAGUUUACAAGCCAAAGCCAAAUCCAGAGCCUCCAGUCUACAAGCCUGCUCCCAUUCCGGUUUAUAAGCCAAAGCCAAAGCCACCAGUCUACAAGCCUUCUCCCAUCCCAGUUUACAAACCAAAGCCAAAUCCAGAGCCUCCGGUUUACAAGCCUGCUCCCAUUCCAGUUUAUAAGCCAAAACCAAAACCGCCUGUUUAUAAGCCUGCUCCCGUUCCAGUUUACAAACCAAAGCCAAAGCCACCCGUUUACAAGCCUGCUCCAGUUCCGGUUUACAAGCCAAAGCCAAAGCCGCCAGUCUACAAACCGGCUCCGGUUCCAGUUUACAAGCCAAAACCAGAGCCACCGGUUUACAAGCCAGCUCCGGUUCCGGUUCCAGUUUACAAACCAAAGCCAAAGCCGCCAGUCUACAAACCUUCCCCUGUUCCAGUUUAUAAGCCAAAGCCUGAGCCACCGGUCUACAAACCUGCCCCUGUUCCAGUUUACAAGCCAAAGCCAGAGCCACCGGUUGUCAAGCCUCCUUGUGACCCAAAACCAAAACCAGAGCCACCUGUCUACAAGCCUGCUCCCGUUCCUAUUUACAAACCUAAGCCAGAGCCGCCAGUCUACAAGCCUUCUCCAGUUCCAGUUUACAAACCGGAGCCAAAACCGCCUGUUUAUAAUCCUUCUCCUGUUCCAGAUUACAAUCCAACACCAAAAUCAC